GACCCAGAGAGCCAGUUUGAGUGCCCAAACACCCGCUGCAUCUUGGUCAGCAACGUCUGUGACUCCCACUGUGACUGUCUUCCUGACUGUGCUGACGAGGUCAACUGUACAGACUCCACCUACACCGUCACUGACGGUGUGAGGGUGUGUGAGGUGGGCGCCUCACUCACCUGCUCCGUGGCCAGCCUCGACCGUGUCCUCGACAGGUGCAUCGCCCCCACCUACGUCUGCGACGGCACCAACGACUGCCACAAUGGCGGCUACCUCUCCGACGAGACGGGCUGUGGGGAGGCGAGGUGUGACGGGGAGCGAGAGGAGGUGUUCCGGUGUGGUGACGGCCGCUGUCUCCCCUCAACCCUCCGCUGCGACCACAAGUACGACUGUCUUCACGGCGACGACGAACACAACUGCUCACGAUCUGAGUGCAGCAGUUCUGAGUGGCAGUGUGCGAGCGGCCAGUGUAUCCCUGCCGUCGCUCGCUGUGACCUCCAAUAUCAGUGCUAUGAUCAGUCAGACGAGGUCAAUUGCGGUAGGUA
Molecule: non-coding RNA, 536 nt
Organism: Procambarus clarkii (red swamp crayfish)
Lineage: Eukaryota; Metazoa; Arthropoda; Malacostraca; Decapoda; Cambaridae
Source: RefSeq, a predicted model, not a curated record